AUGGUUCUAGCGAACAAAAAGCGGCAUUUGAUGCCAACACACUGUCCUGGGCUGCUUGUGCAUCAUGACUUCGCAGACCUCAUUCAUCACGGAUCCUUCUCCCGGACAGUUCCCACUUUGGCUGUCAGGUUUUUCUCGUCACGUCACCUUCUUCCUCCACAGAUACCUAAUCAGGGAGAGAGCACAUCCCAGGCACAUCCAAGGCAGAAAAGUCCACCCACCCCCACCUUCCCGUGCUCCCCGCGACCGCCCUUCAGGCCCCAUGGCUUCGGUUUCCCAGGGCUCAAGAAACACAGGAAUAGAGAAAAGGGCUCAGCUCUGCAGGACCUGGUGCUAGCACAGCUUCCCCGGUCCCAAGCUAAGGGCACCGAUUCAGUGACGAAUUUCCCCAAACAUGACAUGACAGCACAAAAACUUUCUGAACGGACUGUCCACAUCAAUUCCUGCCGAAAGGUAAAGGUAUGGGGGAGCCUAUUUAACCCUUAUAUUAGUGUUUUUAAAAGCAUGAAAGAAGGUACAAUCCUUAAGAGAUUUCUCUUGACUUAAGUGAUGACUCUUCACACGGUUAAUAGCUUUUCAACUAUCGGCUACCACAAGAUGCGCAUGAAAGCAUUAAAAAACCAAAACAAACAAAAAAACCCCCAAACAAAACAAAACCGAAAAACCAACAACAACCAAAGCAAAACCAACUAAACAAAAAGGAACUGCGGGCCCAAACUCCCUUGAGUCAUCGUGUUUAAUAACUAACUAGGUUCAACUCUGCAUCUCUACGUGCGUUUGUAUUUUCAUUGUCAAAGAAUAAGCGUGUAUGUUCUUCACAUGUUAGGUUUGCAAUUUCGUGUUCAUUUCGACAUUCCCUAACGACCCAUCCCACAGAGGUGUCUAAAAGCACCUACAGAUUAUCUCUCAUCUCUCUACUACUCUAAUGUGACACACCUACUUACAUUUUAGGGGUAAAUAAUUUGAGACAGAUUUACAGUUCAACCCUCUCAGUAGACAGGAGGAGAGGUCUGCGUGGAAUAUAAAUUCAAGAAUGUAAUUCUUUCUCAAACAAAUAAUCUGUUCCCUUUCAAAUAUAAUUAAUGUUUUGAUAGUGCAUUUCUUGUGAGAGAGAGAUACAAAAACAGAGGCAACCUCUUGGAUCUCUGUUUGUAUAUUUUCAACAGGAAUUUACAGUACCUAUCUUGUGAAUGUGACAGAUAGAGUGUUUUGAACAUUUAGAAUUUUAUUUAUUAGCAGAACUACAGCAAGAAACUUAUAGGUCCUUACUACCCACCAUGCCCAUUUAAUACACGGUUUUGCUGCAAAGGAAAUUGCAGUUGCAGGAGGAAGGCAUUAGUCUUUCAGGGGGAUGAGAAAUGUUCCCUAGUUCUCAGGGUGCAGACUUCUGUGCUGUUGUGCUCCGGAGGCACACGUCCUUGUGCUUUGUCUUUCGUUCUCCUCUCUCUUUCCUCGCUGGGACUGUGCCUAUGUCCCUUUUCUUCUCACGUAGGGAGUUAAGGAAAAGGGUGGGAAUAUUUUGGUUUUGAGUUUCCAGCGUUCACACUGGUCCGGGCAAUAAUGUGUUUCAAGUCACAUAGUCAGAAUAAAGCCAUGUUUGAAAUUGCCCA
RNAcentral lists this long non-coding RNA (1610 nucleotides) under Zonotrichia albicollis (white-throated sparrow). RNAcentral describes it as "lncRNA (ENSZALG00000004803.1)". Lineage: Eukaryota; Metazoa; Chordata; Aves; Passeriformes; Passerellidae. The record is from RNAcentral.